This is a long non-coding RNA of Megalobrama amblycephala (Wuchang bream), 451 nucleotides long. RefSeq lists it as uncharacterized. Lineage: Eukaryota; Metazoa; Chordata; Actinopteri; Cypriniformes; Xenocyprididae. The transcript is spliced from 2 exons. The record is from RefSeq and is a predicted model, not a curated record.
UGGGGUGCUUCCAGUUUCCCUAUAAAAUGAAGUUUUGUCUUUAACACUGUUUGCAGAAUGAGUUUUGUAAAAUUUAAUUUUAGAAGGAUGGUUCUAGACAGGGGUUUUGAAAAGGAUUUCAAAGUACCAGGACUGUGAUUGUUAUUAAAAUUCCCUUCGGGGCGAAAGAAAAACAAUAACAAUGACAGUAUUGGUUUCUCAGCUAUAGGAUUGACAACCAUGCACCACUUAAAGCGUUUCUAGACGCGUGCUCUGGGUUUAUGGACGCCUAACAGUCUCCUUGUUGACCUGCUCGAGCCUAGGCUGGGUAGGAUAACAGGAUGAGGAGGGAAGGUAAAGUACAAAUCCAAAAACCAGCAGAAGUAGUCAAACCAGAAGAGGACAGCUGAGAGAGAGAGAGAGAGAGAGAGAGAGAGAUAGAGAGAGAGAGAGAGAGAGAGAGAGAGUGAAG